RNAcentral lists this long non-coding RNA (520 nucleotides) under Homo sapiens (human). RNAcentral's name for it is "non-protein coding lnc-BCAP31-2:2". Lineage: Eukaryota; Metazoa; Chordata; Mammalia; Primates; Hominidae. The record is from RNAcentral.
UCCGCCCACCUCCUCCCUGCCCUCCUCCCGGGGAGGAGACGCCGCUCCAGCGGGAGGCAGGAUGGUUGCUACCUGGGGCGGCCGCCAGCUCCUCCCGCAGGGCUCCGGGCCGCCCCUCGCCCCAGGGUCGCCGGCUCCUAGUGCAGCCCAGGCUUCCCGGCCGGCCCCUCCCAGCCCUGGGAAGACGUCCCCCGGGCCCCCUCAGCCCUCCGCCUCCCCUUCUCUCCCUUUCUCCCCGCUCCUGGCAGGCUGCAGCCGUCUCCUCCCGGUGCUCCCUCCUUCCUUGAGCUCUCUCCACCGCUGCCCACUGGGGGCUACAGCUUCCCGGCUACCCUGGAAGCUGGAGGCCGGGACCAGCUCUUCAGGUGACAGGCCUCUGUGUCUCCACAGUGGGCAGAGGGGAGCCUGCCUGGCUGAUGAGCAAGCCUCGACUUUGUCAUCAAGGCAGAGAAGGGGCCCGGGGUCUUCUCUGGCCCAGCCUUUGACUGAAGCUGGUCUGGAGACAGGGGCAUUAGAGAAG